This is an RNA transcript of Girardinichthys multiradiatus, 4126 nucleotides long. It is a transcript of the gene named NACHT, LRR and PYD domains-containing protein 12-like, with no coding region annotated. Lineage: Eukaryota; Metazoa; Chordata; Actinopteri; Cyprinodontiformes; Goodeidae. The record is from RefSeq and is a predicted model, not a curated record. The transcript is spliced from 13 exons.
AAGAGAAGAAUCUGGAUCAGGAGUAAAGAUGGAGAAGAGUCCAGAAGAAGAUCAGCAGAAUGUCCAACAGGAUUUACAGAAAAAGCUGUUAAAGGUUCGCGAAGAGUUUGUGAAGAGGAUUUCUGAGGUAAACCUGAUUCAGCUCCUCGGAAAGCUUGAAACAGAUGGUGUCUUUAAUGUUUUGGAGAAAUGUGAUAUACUGCAAACGAACAAAACCACAGCAGACAAGGCCCGAAACACCAUAGAUGCUGUGAGGAACAAAGGAGACAAAUCCUGCAGAAUGAUGAUCCAACGUCUUCAGCUCAUUGAUCCUGCACUGUCCGACCAGCUGGGUCUGGGUUUGUUCUCUUCUGCUCAGACAGAUCUUGUUGGUCGGUAUCAACAUGACCUUAAAGUGUUUCUGAAGAAGAAGUUUGAAUGUCUCCGUGAAGGCAUUCCUAAAGCUGGAAGGAAAACCUUUCUGAAUGAGAUCUACACAGAGCUCUUCAUCAUGGAGGGAGGAACUGGAGAGGUCAAUGAUGAACAUGAGGUCAGACAGAUUGAAACGUCAUCCAGGAAACCACACAGACCAGAAACAACAAUCAGACAAGAAGACAUCUUCAUACUCCCACCUGGAAGAACGGACCCAAUCAGAACCGUGAUGACAAUGGGCGUGGCUGGCAUUGGGAAAACAGUCUUAACACAGAAGUUCACUCUGGACUGGGCUGAAGACAAAACCAACCAGAACAUCCAGUUCAUAUUUCCAAUCACCUUCAGAGAGCUGAAUGUGCUGAAAGAGAAAAAGUUCAGCUUGGUGGAACUGAUUCAUCACCGCUUUACUAAAACCAAAGGAAUCAGCAACUUUGAACAGUUCCAGGUUCUGUUCAUUCUUGAUGGUCUGGAUGAGAGUCGACUUCCUCUGGACUUCCACAAAACGGAGACUCUGACUGAUGAUACUGAGUCCACCUCAGUGGAUGUUCUGCUGAUCAACCUCAUCAGGGGGGAACUGCUUCCCUCUGCUCUCCUCUGGAUAACCACACGACCUGCAGCAGCCAAUCAGAUCCCAGAUGAGAUCAUCGACAGGGUGACAGAGGUCAGAGGGUUCACUGACCCACAGAAGGAGGAGUACUUCAGGAAGAGAUUCAGUAAUGAGGAGAAGGCCAGCAGGAUCAUCUCCCACAUCAAGACAUCACGAAGCCUCCACAUCAUGUGCCACAUCCCAGUCUUCUGCUGGAUCACUGCUAAGGUUCUGGAGGAUGAGAUAAAGAUCAGAGAGGGAGGAGAGCUUCCAAAGACCCUGACUGAGAUGUACAUCCGCUUCCUGGUGGUUCAGAUCAAACUGAAAAACAUCAAGCUUGAUGGAGGACCUACGACAAAAUCACCCUGGACUCCACAGAACAGGGAGAAGGUCCAACAUCUGGGAAAACUGGCUUUUGAGCAGCUGCUGAAAGGAAACCUGAUCUUCUAUGAAUCAGACCUGAUGGAGUGUGGCAUCGAUAUCCAAGAGGCUCCACUGUAUUUAGGAGUGUUCACUGAGAUCUUUAAAGUGGAGAGAGGGAUGGAUGACUACUCAGUCUACUCCUUCGUUCAUCUGAGCAUCCAGGAGUUUCUGGCUGCAGUCUACAUGUUCCACUGUUUCACCAACAGGAACAAAGAGGUGAUGAAGAAAUUCAUGGGAGAAGAUGACAGUGAAACAUCUGGGUUUGCUUGGUUCAAAUCUCUCAAAAAUAAAAUAAAAACUUUGAACAAAGUUGACAGUUACUCAUCUCUGCAUCAGUUUCUAAAACAAGUCAUGGAGAAAUCUCUCAGCAGUAAAAAUGGUCACCUGGACCUGUUUGUCCGCUUCCUUCAUGGCCUCUCUGAGGAGUCCAACCAGAGACACUUAGAAGGCCUGCUGGGUCAGACAGAGACCAGUCCAGAAACCAUCCAGAGAAUCAUCAACAACCUGAAGGAGAUGAACACUGAUGCUAUCUCUCCAGACAGAAGCAUCAACAUCUUCCACUGUCUGAUAGAGAUGAAGGACCUCUCAAUUUUUCAGGAGAUCCAACAGUUCCUGAAAUCAGAGAACAGAUCAGAGAAGAAGCUCUCAGAGAUCCAGUGCUCAGCUCUGGCCUACAUGCUGCAGAUGUCAGAGGAGGUUCUGGAUGAGUUGGACCUGAAGAAGUACAACACAACAGAGGAGGGACGACUGAGACUGAUUCCAGCUGUGAGGAACUGCAGAAAGGCUCGACUUGUUGGCUGUACACUCUUAGAGACUGAUUGUGAAGUUGUGGCCUCAGCUCUGGAGUCCAACCCCCACCUGACUGAACUGGACAUCAGUGAGAUCUAUGGUGGGGAAACCUUUGGAGAUUCUGGACUGAAGCAUCUGUUGGUGAUACUGGAGAGUUCAUUCUGUAAAGUGAAGAUCCUGAGAUUGAUUUGCUGCAGUUUGUCAGAGAUCAGCUGUGCUUCUCUGGCCUCAGCUCUGAUGUCCAACCCGUCCCAUCUGACAUACCUGAACCUGACCUACAACGACCUGAAAGAUGCUGGAGUGAAGGAGCUCUGUAGUUUUCUACAGACUUCUCUCUGCAAACUACAGAUAUUGAUAUUGGAGCGCUGCAGGUUGUCAGAGAUCAGCUGUGCUUCUCUGGUCUCAGCUCUGAAGUCCAACCCGUCCCAUCUGACAGAACUGAACCUGAGCUACAAUGACCUGAAAGAUGCUGGAGUGAAGGAGCUCUGUAGUUUUCUACAGACUCCUCUCUGCAAACUACAGAUAUUGAAAUUGAUGAGCUGCAGGUUGUCAGAGAUCAGUUGUGCUUCUCUGGUCUCAGCUCUGAAGUCCAACCCGUCCCAUCUGACAGAACUGAACCUGAGCUACAAUGACCUGAAAGAUGCUGGAGUGAAGGAGCUCUGUAGUUUUCUACAGACUCCUCUCUGCAAACUACAGAUAUUGGGAUUGGAGGACUGCAGUUUGUCAGAGAUCAGCUGUGCUUCUCUGGGCUCAGCUCUGAAGUCCAACCCGUCCCAUCUGACACAACUGUUUGUGGGUCAGAACAACCUGAAAGACUCUGGAGUGAAGGAGCUCUGUAGUUUUCUACAGACUCCUCUCUGCAAACUACAGAUGUUGGGAUUGAUGAGCUGCAGUUUGUCAGAGACCAGCUGUUCUUCUCUGGCCUCAGCUCUGAAGUCCAACCCCUCCCAUCUGACAUACCUGAACCUGAGUCAGAACUACAACCUGAAAGAUUCUGGAGUGAAGGAGCUCUGUAGUUUUCUACAGACUCCUCUCUGCAAACUACAGAUAUUGGGGAGACGAGUCCUCCCAGGACGGAGGUCCGUCUCAGAGCAGAAACCCAGAGUUGAUGGCCGAGGCCACGAUGGACAUCAGGAAGCUGCAGCAGUUCCUCGUGGGGCAGCAGGUCAAACCCCAGCAAGGCCUUGUGCAAUAUUGUCCAUCAGAACGUGGUCCACCUCAUCCUGCUCCAUGAAGAUGUGUCUCUGCAGUAUUUCAUCCCUGCUGUGGCCUGAUUCCCUGUAGAUAACCUGGGUUCUGGUCCUGCUCAGUGAGAGCUUGAGUGAAAGAACAGGCUGGGAGCUGGUUUCUUUACCUGACAGGGGAGAACAUGAAGGUCCUCCAUGGAGACUUGAAGAAGACUGUACCUGCUGAACUCUGGUGCAUUAAGCAUUAGAUGUAUCAUUCAGCGUCUAUGAAGUCUCAUUCUAUGAUCCAAAACUACCUGAAACCACCUUCAUGUCAAUUCAGCAGGGUUAAUACAGAGAGACUUUGAACUGUUGGAAGAUACUGGAGCUUAUGGAGAAAACGUGACAGAAACAAGAAGAACAAAGCAAAGGAACCACUGCACCCCUUUCCCACAAUCUCUUAAUGUAAACUGGCUGCAGACAAACUCAAUACACUGAACAUGUGUCUAUAGGGCGAUCCUGUGGUCUAUUUCAGCAAACCCUACUUUUUCCUUUUUAUUUAUUUUACCUUUGGGAUAAAUAGAGUACUUUUGAACUGAAUUGAAUUAAACACAGGUCUCUUCUCAAGUUUAUAUACAGGUAGAGACUUGUUGAUACAAUGUCCUAUACUGACUCAUGUGUGAACCAUCCCUCUUUUUUGCUUACAGUACACGGGACAUAUUGUAAUAAUAAAAAAUGAUCUUGUUCAACA